Molecule: long non-coding RNA, 405 nt
Organism: Oncorhynchus nerka (sockeye salmon)
Lineage: Eukaryota; Metazoa; Chordata; Actinopteri; Salmoniformes; Salmonidae
Exons: 2
Source: RefSeq, a predicted model, not a curated record
CUCAGACCAUGAGAAACAAGACUCUAUGGUCUGAUAAAACCAAGAUUGAAUUCUUUGGCUUGAAUGCCAGCGUCACGUCUGGAGUAAACCUAGCACCAUCCCCAUGGUGAUACAUGGUGGUGGUGGCUGUAACGGAUUUCCUCCUCUUCGUCUGAGGAGGAGUAAGGAUCGGACCAAAACGCAGCGUGGUGGUGGGAACGGACCAUCUCCAAAAUGGUCGGGAAUGUUGAUUUAUGCUGACUGGCCUUGACUUCGUGCUGAUAACGCGGAGGCUUGAGAAUUAGAGGGGCCCUCUGUUUGUGGAACGGAACGUUUGGAAAACGCUGACGUCAUUUUCAGUUUAUAACCUGUGGUAAUGUGUGUAAGCAUUUAGUACUCUCUGGAAUUAAACGCUCUUUAACCUGG